Amblyraja radiata (thorny skate) is the source of this 321-nucleotide long non-coding RNA. RefSeq lists it as uncharacterized. Lineage: Eukaryota; Metazoa; Chordata; Chondrichthyes; Rajiformes; Rajidae. The record is from RefSeq and is a predicted model, not a curated record. The transcript has 4 exons.
UGAUCAACCGCUGUCUGAUCGUGGCUUCUGAGGACGAAUGUUCCUCUCAGCUGGAAUUACACCAAGGACUUCAACAUGGUCUAUACAGAGGCUAUGGUUUAUACCUUUCAAAAGAACAUGGAUUUGAUUUACCCCUUCAUGUUUUCACUUGAUUAUGAACCCCUGGAUAUGUUACAUGCCUUUCUCCAAGUUAAAUUAAAAUCAGCUGUCUGUGGGGACGAAUGCAGUGAGUAACAACUGUUUCUGUACCAGCCUCGAAAAUUAGUAGUUAGAUUGACACUUGUACCAGUUGUCAAACUUACCCGGCCCCUACACCCCCUC